GCGCCCCGAGCAUGGCGGAAGUGCAGCGGUCUUAUAAACCGCCGGUGGUGGGUUCGACUCCCACGGGGCGCA
This 72-nucleotide transfer RNA is filed under the name Chloroflexota bacterium. RNAcentral's name for it is "Chloroflexi bacterium (groundwater metagenome) tRNA-Ile". It matches the Rfam family "tRNA". From Rfam's summary of the family: Transfer RNA (tRNA) molecules are approximately 80 nucleotides in length. Their secondary structure includes four short double-helical elements and three loops (D, anti-codon, and T loops). Further hydrogen bonds mediate the characteristic L-shaped molecular structure. tRNAs have two regions of fundamental functional importance: the anti-codon, which is responsible for specific mRNA codon recognition, and the 3' end, to which the tRNAs corresponding amino acid is attached (by aminoacyl-tRNA synthetases). tRNAs cope with the degeneracy of the genetic code in two manners: having more than one tRNA (with a specific anti-codon) for a particular amino acid; and 'wobble' base-pairing, i.e. permitting non-standard base-pairing at the 3rd anti-codon position. Lineage: Bacteria; Bacillati; Chloroflexota. The record is from RNAcentral.